AACACACAAUACCUAGAAUUUGGAGAAUGCUGCAAGACAGCUUUGAGGGCAGCUACCACUUCUUUUUUGCCUGUGAAAAUUGGAGGGAAAGAACUUUGAAUUGGAAGAAAGAAGAACACCAAAAGAGAAAGAGAGUGAAAGGAAUUCCAUCCUAGUGGGAAUGAUUUAAUGUGUUGUAUUCUUUAGGGAUAAGAGUGUAGAAAUCCAGAAAGCACAGUUCUGGCCAGACUUACAUAGGUGGAGCAGUAGAAUUGUCGACUACUAUUAAAAAUGAAUUGAUGGUCCUUUCAUUGUAUGCCAAGGAUUCUUAAACAGUGUGACAAAAUUAGGCAAGAACGAGAUGAAGCCGUUAAAAAACUGGAAGAAUUUCAGAAAAUUUCUCACAUGGUCAUAGAGGAAGUUAAUUUCAUGCAGAACCAUCUUGAAAUAGAGAAGACUUGUCGAGAAAGUGCUGAAGCUUUGGCAACAAAGCUAAAUAAAGAAAAUAAAACGUUGAAAAGAAUCAGCAUGUUGUACAUGGCCAAGCUGGGACCAGAUGUAAUAACUGAAGAGAUAAACAUUGAUGAUGAAGAUUCGACUACAGACACAGACGGUGCCGCCGAGACUUGUGUCUCAGUACAGUGUCAGAAGCAAAUUAAAGAACUUCGAGAUCAAAUUGUAUCUGUUCAGGAGGAAAAGAAGAUUUUAGCCAUUGAGCUGGAAAAUCUCAAGAGCAAACUCGUAGAAGUAAUUGAAGAAGUAAAUAAAGUUAAACAAGAAAAGACUGUUUUAAAUUCAGAAGUUCUUGAACAGAGAAAAGUCUUAGAAAAAUGCAAUAGAGUGUCCAUGUUAGCUGUAGAAGAGUAUGAGGAGAUGCAAGUAAACCUGGAGCUGGAGAAGGACCUUCGAAAGAAAGCAGAGUCAUUUGCACAAGAGAUGUUCAUUGAGCAAAACAAGCUAAAGAGACAAAGCCACCUUCUGCUGCAGAGCUCCAUCCCUGAUCAGCAGCUUUUGAAAGCUUUAGAUGAAAAUGCAAAACUCACCCAGCAACUUGAAGAAGAGAGAAUUCAGCAUCAACAAAAGGUCAAAGAAUUAGAAGAGCAACUAGAAAAUGAAACACUCCACAAAGAAAUACACAACCUCAAACAGCAACUGGAGCUUCUAGAAGAAGAUAAAAAGGAGUUGGAAUUGAAAUAUCAGAAUUCUGAAGAGAAAGCCAGAAAUUUAAAGCACUCUGUUGAUGAACUCCAGAAACGAGUGAACCAGUCUGAGAAUUCAGUACCUCCACCACCUCCUCCUCCACCACCACUUCCCCCUCCACCUCCCAAUCCUAUCCGAUCCCUCAUGUCCAUGAUCCGGAAACGAUCCCACCCCAGUGGCAGUGGUGCUAAGAAAGAAAAGGCAACUCAACCAGAAACAACUGAAGAAGUCACAGAUCUAAAGAGGCAAGCAGUUGAAGAGAUGAUGGAUAGAAUUAAAAAGGGAGUUCAUCUUAGACCCGUUAAUCAGACAGCCAGACCGAAGACAAAGCCAGAAUCUUCGAAAGGCUGCGAAAGUGCAGUGGAUGAACUAAAAGGAAUACUGGGGACACUUAACAAAUCCACUAGUUCAAGAAGCUUAAAAUCCCUUGACCCUGAAAACAGUGAAACUGAGUUAGAAAGGAUUUUGCGUCGCAGAAAGGUGACAGCAGAAGCAGAUAGCAGUAGUCCAACUGGGAUAUUAGCCACCUCAGAGUCCAAAUCCAUGCCAGUGUUGGGUUCUGUAUCCAGUGUAACAAAAACAGCCUUGAACAAGAAAACUCUGGAGGCAGAAUUCAACAGCCCGUCCCCCCCAACACCUGAACCAGGUGAAGGGCCCCGUAAAUUGGAAGGAUGCACAAGUUCCAAGGUUACGUUUCAGCCUCCCAGUAGCAUUGGAUGCAGGAAAAAAUACAUUGACGGUGAAAAACAAGCCGAACCAGUUGUAGUUUUAGAUCCUGUUUCUACACAUGAACCCCAAACCAAAGACCAGGUUGCUGAAAAAGAUCCAACUCAACACAAGGAGGAUGAAGGCGAAAUUCAACCAGAAAACAAAGAAGACAGCAUUGCAAACGUGAGAGAGACAGACAGCUCCAACUGCUGAUCCGUAAACCAGAAGCCUGACAUGUUUGGAAGUCCUUUUCAAUAAGCACAUGAUUAGUGUUGUUAUAUUGGCAAGGGCUGUAGACAUUCUGCUCUGGUCACUGUAUUCAGAAUACAGGUUCUUUUCUGGUGUCACUUUUGUAAGUAGCAACUAUAAACAUAAGUAAGCUGUUUAGCAAAACACACAUUCCUAGUAGGUUUUGGUUUUUUGAUCUUUAUAAAGAUGAGUUUUUUUCCUAGUUACUGUAUUAAGUAUGACUUCUUUUAGAAGGUUACAAAAAAAUUCAGAUGUUGAUACCUUUUUAGGAAAUGUGCAUACCACUCAUCAAAUGGAAUGCUGAAAGUUUGAGGUGCUUGUAUAUAAUCGGAUAAACAAAACUGAUCAACCUAAUGUGAUUUUAAAAGCCCCCAAAGAAGCUUCUGUUUUGGGUCUGAUCCUCUUGAUGGAGAAACUGCAGCAGCGUGGAAAUUGUUGGGUACUGUGGCAUACAAGUUAUUUUCUACAGUAGACUGAGAUAAACUGAAAACUCAGGAGCUGGCAUCAAACUCGUAGUCCCAUAGUCAGUGUUAAUUACACACAUUGUUAACUAUUGGAUGAAAAAUACAUGCUAUUGAUUGUGUCCAAAGCCUCCCGAGGACCUCCGUGGGGAUGCUCUGGUAGCCUGAAUACAGAACUGAGGUGAAAGUCCAAACCUUGAAUUUUACAGUAAUAAGUUGGUAAACCAUGUGCUCUGUGCUAUGAGUUAAUUAUGUUUUCCCAAGUACUAAUGUGGCACAAGUACCAUAUUUUAUCAGAGUUCUUAUGUACAGUACAGUGAAGAUAAGUGACAAGCACACAUUUUUCUUGCUUCACUGCUGUUCUAUAUUACACAGGUUUGUUGUUGUUUUUUUAAAAAAGAAAUUAAGCAGUAGUUAGUCUCUAAAAAUACAAUGUUUCAGGCUACCACAGUGAAUAAAUAGAAAUGUAAUCAGGGAUUAAAAAAAAAACUUAUGCAGCUUUUCAAAGUUGAUUGUUUCAAAAUUGGUGUUUAUUUAAAAUAAGUGGUAAUGUACUUGAAUGCACUUUUUAUGACAAUGAUUCAGUAAUGGUAAUUUUACUAUUAAAGAAAGUGAAAGGUUUAGUUUUGUUAGCAUGGCUCAGCAUGUAGCUGUCAGGUGUUUUUCACCUAAGGGCAAAAGAAAAUGAUAGUAAUAAUUGCAGUAGUUGUAUUGUAUUGUAUUUUUGCACGUGUGGUAAGCAUAGGCUUGAAGAGGUGGGUAGGCAGGUACAUGUACUUCCUAAAUUUGGAGAUAAUUAUCUUUCUGUAAGUUCGUUACGCUUGACUGUUUCCAUGUUCUCCCAAUAAUGAUUUUACAGUUACUUAUCACUUUUCUCAUGGGGAAUUAAAAUGUAAUGUUUUUUCAACUGUAUCUUUCCUUAACUGGAUAAUAGUGCUAUAUGAUAUGCUUACUACAGACUGCAUUAAUUCACGAAACGAAUUCUGUUAUGCUGUAAUUUGAACUCUCCUCACCACAACUUAUUAAAAAGGCACCAAUAGUUUCCCAUU
This 3646-nucleotide small RNA is filed under the name Pan troglodytes (chimpanzee). RNAcentral describes it as "processed transcript". Lineage: Eukaryota; Metazoa; Chordata; Mammalia; Primates; Hominidae. The record is from RNAcentral.